Molecule: ribosomal RNA, 253 nt
Filed under: uncultured bacterium
Lineage: Bacteria
Description: partial 16S ribosomal RNA
Rfam family: Bacterial small subunit ribosomal RNA
Source: RNAcentral
UACGGAGGGGGCUAGCGUUGUUCGGAAUUACUGGGCGUAAAGCGCGUGUAGGCGGGUCCUUAAGUCGGGGGUGAAAGCCCGGGGCUCAACCUCGGAACUGCCUUCGAUACUGAGGACCUGGAGUCUGGGAGAGGUGAGCGGAAUUCCGAGUGUAGAGGUGAAAUUCGUAGAGAUUCGGAGGAACACCAGAGGCGAAGGCGGCUCACUGGACCAGUACUGACGAUGAGACGCGAAAGAGUGGGGAGCAAACAGG